AAGGAAUAAGCCCAUGUUCUCAGUCCGUGGAGGAACAGGGAUAUUUGCUAUUGCAAGAAGAAUCCAAUGCACUUUGGAGGUUUCUGCUGGCAACAUGUACAUGUGUCUAGAGAGUUGAGGACAGCAACAGAAGUUGGAAAGAAGGUAAACUAGGAAAAUUAACCAAUCUGCUCUU
RNAcentral lists this long non-coding RNA (175 nucleotides) under Fukomys damarensis (Damara mole-rat). RNAcentral describes it as "lncRNA (ENSFDAG00000022896.1)". The record is from RNAcentral. Lineage: Eukaryota; Metazoa; Chordata; Mammalia; Rodentia; Bathyergidae.